UCCCUGGUGGUUUAAUGGUUAGGAUUCGGCCAUUUCACGGCUGCAGCCCAGGUUCGAUCCCCGGUCUGGGAA
Molecule: transfer RNA, 72 nt
Filed under: Sus scrofa (pig)
Lineage: Eukaryota; Metazoa; Chordata; Mammalia; Artiodactyla; Suidae
Rfam family: tRNA
About the family: Transfer RNA (tRNA) molecules are approximately 80 nucleotides in length. Their secondary structure includes four short double-helical elements and three loops (D, anti-codon, and T loops).
Source: Rfam by way of RNAcentral